RNAcentral lists this transfer RNA (74 nucleotides) under Merluccius polli (Benguela hake). It matches the Rfam family "tRNA". From Rfam's summary of the family: Transfer RNA (tRNA) molecules are approximately 80 nucleotides in length. Their secondary structure includes four short double-helical elements and three loops (D, anti-codon, and T loops). Lineage: Eukaryota; Metazoa; Chordata; Actinopteri; Gadiformes; Merlucciidae. The record is from Rfam by way of RNAcentral.
GUUUCGGUAGUGUAGUGGUUAUCACGUUUGCCUCACAUGCGAAAGUUCCCAGGUUACGAAAACCGGCAGAAACA